This is a non-coding RNA of Pogona vitticeps (central bearded dragon), 1640 nucleotides long. Lineage: Eukaryota; Metazoa; Chordata; Lepidosauria; Squamata; Agamidae. The record is from RefSeq and is a predicted model, not a curated record.
CCUGCCGCAGCUUCCCUCCUGGUCUCAGAGCCCGGAGGAUGCUCAAAGCAGCUGCCCAGGAGGCUGGGCAGAUCCCAGUGGAUCCCUAAAGCCACAGAUGCAGGUCUCGGCACAACCGAGUACCAACAAGGGUGCUGAGCGUUCAGCUUCGCCAACAGGGCACGAGAAAGGGACACGUGCCAAGAUGACUUUCACUUUUAACCCUUCUUCCUAGGUCAUACUUUCUUCUUCUGGGGAUGGAGGCACUCCGCUAGACAUUGCACGAGCAGGAAGGAAGGCACCACCACAGUGCUCAAGGGACCAUCUGAUGCGCCUGUGAACACUCCAGCAAACCAGUGUGCUGACCCGGCGUCCUCUCUGCUCGUUGCAAGGGGAAGCAUCAUUAAACCACAUGGAGCGCACAAAGGGCAGGUUGCGCCCAAUCUCCCGUACAACCAGAGGCUUCUAGACUGCUCGCUAAAACUGCUUCUCCUUUCCUAAGGAUUUAUUUCUUCACCUCGGGCAUAGUGCACAAACUGUGGGAUUCAAUGCUAUAUAGCAGCAUUAGCAAAACUUCUUUUUACUUUUUCUAAAUUCUUUGCUCGUGGGCAUACGUUUGGCUAGAAGGAAGUGCCAGGUCCAGGACUGAGUCCAGUCGCAAGAAAUGAGAAAGAACUCUCAAUGAAUCUGACUGGAGAAUACUCAGAGUAGAUAGAUAAUUUGGCAUGAUAAUAAGCGAAUUUCUAUGCCUAGUGCUGCAGCUUUUGGACAGAGCCUCCAUACGUUUAGCUGCUAGGCUACCUGGUUUGCAAUACAGACAAGAGUGUCCGAUUUAUGCAUUAAUGAAGUAAACUAACAUUUAGCCCUUGGGGUUACGAAGAGCCUCUAAAUAAGUAAUCUGUUACUUUUUUUCUGUACUCCUGCAGCUUCUUAAACUGGACUUUGGCUAGGGCCUCAGCAGGCCUUAAUUUUGCCCUGUUCAUGGAGGCAGACUAAUAAAGAAAGCUCUACCUGUACAUUUGCACAGCACGUGUCCAUAAAAAGAAGCCGCAGCGCUACCAUCACCACCUUGUGAAUGAGAUAGAGCUGUUCUUUUCUUUAGAAGGUAGAGCGCUCGUGGGCUUGGCGUCUACUUCCAGAUAGUUUGGUCCAGUCGCCCUCCUUCAGACUGACCUUCCUCCAAGGGAAGUUGUGAGCAUAAUGUAGAAAAGAAGAACACUUCCUUUGUCUGACUGUGGUACAGGAAAGGGAUUCAAGGGAUUUGAUGGCAACGGGAUGCUCAGUAGUUGGUGUAGGAUCUGUCUGAUGAUACCAACAGCUACAUCUGAUUACUGGGUUUCUUGUGGCGUCAGAAUCAGCAGUACCUUCCAGCUGAAAUAUUAGCAACAGAAGAUUGCUCACACUCAUCAUCCUCGUCUUCAUCUCAGAACUGCAGAACUGGAAGGGACCCUUUGGGUCAUCAGUUCCAGUGUUUGUCAAAGUGGCACAGUGAGGAAUCGAACUCUAAACUUCCGGCUGCAUAGUCAGAUACCUAAAUAACUGAGCUCUCUCUGAUAUGAUGUUCCCUCGCAUUUCAUCCAAGCACCCAGUAACUCUGGCUGAUGUUCCUAUCAUAUGUGAUUAAAGCCAAAGGCAACUAUUUAAAUACUGUGUUAGAGGAA